CCAAAGUGCAGGGGUUGCAUAUCUACCAAUAAGCUUAUCAUUUCAAGAGGAAGUAUUUACCCAGGGAUAAGGAGAGUAAAAUUAUCACUUUCAAGCAUCUCUCAUUCAAAAACUUUGGAAUAAUUCUGUUUGGCUGUGAGACACUCUGACAUGUUUGAAGAAAAAAACAAAGCAACAACAACAAAACACUACUGAUAUAGACCAAUACAUGAUUCUGCAUUAGGCUGACCUUCAAAAUGGAAGGCACAGAACCAAGAGAAAGCAGCGAUCUUCAUUUUAUGUAUUUAACUGUAUCUGCAAAGCAAUAUUAAGGACAGUGCAAGGCACAUGAAGGCAGGCUUUGUUUUUUCUCAUGGACUGAACAUCAUUGGAGACCAGAAGAAAACCAGGAUGUCCCCGGACCUAAGACACAGGCUGUAUUCAUGGAAGUAUACACACAGGAAGCCAAUAGUAUUCAAGAGAUUGCUUCAGAAAAGAGCAUAGAAGGCAAACCAAAAAGGAAAGAAAAAUAAAUAAAUAACCAACUCAGCA
This 531-nucleotide long non-coding RNA is filed under the name Anser brachyrhynchus (Pink-footed goose). RNAcentral's name for it is "lncRNA (ENSABRG00000004995.1)". Lineage: Eukaryota; Metazoa; Chordata; Aves; Anseriformes; Anatidae. The record is from RNAcentral.